This 498-nucleotide ribosomal RNA is filed under the name uncultured bacterium. Its description in RNAcentral is "partial 16S ribosomal RNA". It matches the Rfam family "Bacterial small subunit ribosomal RNA", at positions 29 to 523 of the family's 1533-position model. The record is from RNAcentral.
AUUGAACGCUGGCGGCAUGCUUUACACAUGCAAGUCGAACGGUAACAGGCCGCAAGGUGCUGACGAGUGGCGAACGGGUGAGUAAUGCAUCGGAACGUGCCCAGUCGUGGGGGAUAACGCAGCGAAAGCUGCGCUAAUACCGCAUACGAUCUAUGGAUGAAAGCGGGGGACCGUAAGGCCUCGCGCGAUUGGAGCGGCCGAUGUCAGAUUAGGUAGUUGGUGGGGUAAAGGCUCACCAAGCCAACGAUCUGUAGCUGGUCUGAGAGGACGACGAGCAACGCUGGGACUGAGACACGGCCCAGACUCCUACGAGAGGCAGCAGUGGGGAAUGUUGGACAAUGGGCGCAAGCCUGAUCCAGCAAUGCCGCGUGCAGGAAGAAGGCCUUCGGGUUGUAAGCUGCUUUUGUACGGAACGAAACGGCUCUGGUUAAUACCUGGGGCUAAUGACGGUACCGUAAGAAUAAGCACCGGCUAACUACGUGCCAGCCGCCGCCGUAA